This 583-nucleotide ribosomal RNA is filed under the name uncultured freshwater bacterium. RNAcentral describes it as "bacterial SSU rRNA". It matches the Rfam family "Bacterial small subunit ribosomal RNA", at positions 8 to 590 of the family's 1533-position model. The record is from RNAcentral.
AGAGUUUGAUCCUGGCUCAGGAUGAACGCUAGCGGCAGGCUUAAUACAUGCAAGUCGAGGGGCAUCAAGUCUUCGGAUGUUGGCGACCGGCAAACGGGUGCGGAACACGUACACAACUUACCUUUUAGUGGGGGAUAGCCCAGAGAAAUUUGGAUUAAUACCCCGUAAGAUAUUUGAGUGGCAUCACUUGGAUAUUAUAGAUUUAUUGCUAGGAGAUAGGUGUGCGUCUGAUUAGGUAGUUGGUAGGGUAACGGCCUACCAAGCCAACGAUCAGUAGCUGAUGUGAGAGCAUGAUCAGCCACACGGGCACUGAGACACGGGCCCGACUCCUACGGGAGGCAGCAGUAAGGAAUAUUGGACAAUGGACGCAAGUCUGAUCCAGCCAUGCCGCGUGAAGGAUUAAGGUCCUCUGGAUUGUAAACUUCUUUUAUAGGGGGCGAAAAUGGGUUUUUCUAGAUCAACUGACGGUACCCUAUGAAUAAGCACCGGCUAACUCCGUGCCAGCAGCCGCGGUAAUACGGAGGGUGCAAGCGUUAUCCGGAUUCACUGGGUUUAAAGGGUGCGUAGGCGGGUAAUUAAGUCA